UACGUAGGGGGCAAGCGUUGUCCGGAUUUAUUGGGCGUAAAGCGCUCGCAGGUGGUUCGUUGCGUCGUGCGUGAAAGACCCCGGCUCAACUGGGGGAUGUCGUGCGAUACGGGCGGACUGGAGGCCAGUAGGGGGAUGCGGAAUUCCGGGUGUAGUGGUGGAAUGCGCAGAUAUCAGGAGGAACACCAAUUGCGAAGGCAGCUCGCUGGGACGUUACUGACGCUGAGACGCGAAAGCGUGGGGAGCAAACAGG
RNAcentral lists this ribosomal RNA (253 nucleotides) under uncultured bacterium. Its description in RNAcentral is "partial 16S ribosomal RNA". It matches the Rfam family "Bacterial small subunit ribosomal RNA", at positions 524 to 776 of the family's 1533-position model. The record is from RNAcentral.